AUUGAACGCUAGCGGGAUGCCUUACACAUGCAAGUCGAACGGCAGCGCGGACUUCGGUCUGGCGGCGAGUGGCGAACGGGUGAGUAAUGUAUCGGAACGUGCCCAGUAGCGGGGGACAACCACUCGAAAGAGUGGCUAAUACCGCAUACGCCCGUACGGGGAAAGGGGGGGAUCGCAAGACCUCUCACUAUUGGAGCGGCCGAUAUCGGAUUAGCUAGUUGGUGGGGUAAAGGCCUACCAAGGCGACGAUCCGUAGCUGGUUUGAGAGGACGACCAGCCACACUGGGACUGAGACACGGCCCAGACUCCUACGGGAGGCAGCAGUGGGGAAUUUUGGACAAUGGGGGAAACCCUGAUCCAGCCAUUCCGCGUGUGCGAUGAAGGCCUUCGGGUUGUAAAGCACUUUUGGCAGGAAAGAAAUCGUGUGGGUUAAUACCCUGCGCGGAUGACGGUACCUGCAGAAUAAGCACCGGCUAACUACGUG
This 484-nucleotide ribosomal RNA is filed under the name uncultured bacterium. RNAcentral describes it as "bacterial SSU rRNA". It matches the Rfam family "Bacterial small subunit ribosomal RNA", at positions 30 to 507 of the family's 1533-position model. The record is from RNAcentral.